Molecule: ribosomal RNA, 496 nt
Filed under: uncultured bacterium
Lineage: Bacteria
Description: partial 16S ribosomal RNA
Rfam family: Bacterial small subunit ribosomal RNA
Source: RNAcentral
AUGAACGCUGGCGGCGUGCCUAAUACAUGCAAGUCGAGCGAACGGACGAGAAGCUUGCUUUUCUGAUGUUAGCGGCGGACGGGUGAGUAACACGUGGAUAACCUACCUAUAAGACCGGGAUAACUUCGGGAAACCGGAGCUAAUACCGGAUAAUAUUUUGAACCGCAUGGUUCAAAAGUGAAAGACGGUCUUGCUGUCACUUAUAGAUGGAUCCGCGCUGCAUUAGCUAGUUGGUAAGGUAACGGCUUACCAAGGCAACGAUGCAUAGCCGACCUGAGAGGGUGAUCGGCCACACUGGAACUGAGACACGGUCCAGACUCCUACGGGAGGCAGCAGUAGGGGAUCUUCCGCAAUGGGCGAAAGCCUGACGGAGCAACGCCGCGUGAGUGAUGAAGGUCUUCGGAUCGUAAAACUCUGUUAUUAGGGAAGAACAUAUGUGUAAGUAACUGUGCACAUCUUGACGGUACCUAAUCAGAAAGCCACGGCUAACUACGUG